This is a long non-coding RNA of Microplitis demolitor, 454 nucleotides long. RefSeq lists it as uncharacterized. The record is from RefSeq and is a predicted model, not a curated record. The transcript has 3 exons. Lineage: Eukaryota; Metazoa; Arthropoda; Insecta; Hymenoptera; Braconidae.
AUAAAAAAUGCACGUAUUAAUUUUUUCAUAUUCGUCCUUUUUUUAAAUUUGAUUUUACCAAUUAUUGACUCUAAUAUUCUAUUUAUUAAUAAUUUUAAAUUUAUCUGAUAUCUGCUACAUUCACACUUAUCUUGUAAUUUACAAUAAAAUAGAUUUGAUUUAUUGCAAUAAUAGAAGUGACAAAAACUGGGUUAAUAAUUAAGAAAAAUGGUCGGCACAUGUUUUUCAAUGUGUUCAGGAAAAGAAUGACGUCUAAGAGAACGAGAAGGUUUAUUACGCAUUUCAGAGAUCGAUGGAAAACCUAAAAAUCAAAGGCACAAAAAAGCUGAUUUCACUAAAAUAAUGAAAUGUUUUCAAAGAUCCAGUGUAGAGUUUCACUCCAAAAAGGCAUACGCUGGAGCUUAAUUUAUGAAUUAACAUUCAACAGGAUCCGGGCAAUAAAAUAAGACAUGAU